CACUAUCGUUAACUGAAUACAUAGGUUAACGAGGCGAACCGGGGGAACUGAAACAUCUAAGUACCCCGAGGAAAAGAAAUCAACCGAGAUUCCCCCAGUAGCGGCGAGCGAACGGGGAGCAGCCCAGAGUCUGAAUCAGCUUGUGUGUUAGUGGAACGGUCUGGAAAGUCCGACGGUACAGGGUGAUAGUCCCGUACACCAAAAUGCACAGGCUGUGAACUCGAAGAGUAGGGCGGGACACGUGGUAUCCUGUCUGAAUAUGGGGGGACCAUCCUCCAAGGCUAAAUACUCCUGACUGACCGAUAGUGAACCAGUACCGUGAGGGAAAGGCGAAAAGAACCCCGGCGAGGGGAGUGAAAAAGAACCUGAAACCGUGUACGUACAAGCAGUGGGAGCACCUUCGGGUGUGACUGCGUACCUUUUGUAUAAUGGGUCAGCGACUUAUAUUCUGUAGCAAGGUUAACCGUAUAGGGGAGCCGCAGGGAAACCGAGUCUUAACUGGGCGUUAAGUUGCAGGGUAUAGACCCGAAACCCGGUGAUCUAGCCAUGGGCAGGUUGAAGGUUGGGUAACACUAACUGGAGGACCGAACCGACUAAUGUUGAAAAAUUAGCGGAUGACUUGUGGCUGGGGGUGAAAGGCCAAUCAAACCGGGAGAUAGCUGGUUCUCCCCGAAAGCUAUUUAGGUAGCGCCUCGUGAACUCAUCUUCGGGGGUAGAGCACUGUUUCGGCUAGGGGGUCAUCCCGACUUACCAACCCGAUGCAAACUACGAAUACCGAAGAAUGUUAUCACGGGAGACACACGGCGGGUGCUAACGUCCGUCGUGAAGAGGGAAACAACCCAGACCGCCAGCUAAGGUCCCAAAGUCAUGGUUAAGUGGGAAACGAUGUGGGAAGGCACAGACAGCCAGGAUGUUGGCUUAGAAGCAGCCAUCAUUUAAAGAAAGCGUAAUAGCUCACUGGUCGAGUCGGCCUGCGCGGAAGAUGUAACGGGGCUAAACCAUGCACCGAAGCUGCGGCAGCGACACUAUGUGUUGUUGGGUAGGGGAGCGUUCUGUAAGCCUGCGAAGGUGUGCUGUGAGGCAUGCUGGAGGUAUCAGAAGUGCGAAUGCUGACAUAAGUAACGAUAAAGCGGGUGAAAAGCCCGCUCGCCGGAAGACCAAGGGUUCCUGUCCAACGUUAAUCGGGGCAGGGUGAGUCGACCCCUAAGGCGAGGCCGAAAGGCGUAGUCGAUGGGAAACAGGUUAAUAUUCCUGUACUUGGUGUUACUGCGAAGGGGGGACGGAGAAGGCUAUGUUAGCCGGGCGACGGUUGUCCCGGUUUAAGCAUGUAGGCUGGUUGUCCAGGCAAAUCCGGAUAAUCAAGGCUGAGGUGUGAUGACGAGGCACUACGGUGCUGAAGUAACAAAUGCCCUGCUUCCAGGAAAAGCCUCUAAGCAUCAGGUAACAUCAAAUCGUACCCCAAACCGACACAGGUGGUCAGGUAGAGAAUACCAAGGCGCUUGAGAGAACUCGGGUGAAGGAACUAGGCAAAAUGGUGCCGUAACUUCGGGAGAAGGCACGCUGGUGUGUAGGUGAAGUCCCUGCGGAUGGAGCUGAGACCAGUCGAAGAUACCAGCUGGCUGCAACUGUUUAUUAAAAACACAGCACUGUGCAAACACGAAAGUGGACGUAUACGGUGUGACGCCUGCCCGGUGCCGGAAGGUUAAUUGAUGGGGUUAUCCGUAAGGAGAAGCUCUUGAUCGAAGCCCCGGUAAACGGCGGCCGUAACUAUAACGGUCCUAAGGUAGCGAAAUUCCUUGUCGGGUAAGUUCCGACCUGCACGAAUGGCGUAAUGAUGGCCAGGCUGUCUCCACCCGAGACUCAGUGAAAUUGAACUCGCUGUGAAGAUGCAGUGUACCCGCGGCAAGACGGAAAGACCCCGUGAACCUUUACUAUAGCUUGACACUGAACAUUGAGCCUUGAUGUGUAGGAUAGGUGGGAGGCUUUGAAGCGUGGACGCCAGUCUGCGUGGAGCCAACCUUGAAAUACCACCCUUUAAUGUUUGAUGUUCUAACGUUGGCCCCUUACCGGGGUUGCGGACAGUGUCUGGUGGGUAGUUUGACUGGGGCGGUCUCCUCCCAAAGCGUAACGGAGGAGCACGAAGGUUAGCUAAUCCUGGUCGGACAUCAGGAGGUUAGUGCAAUGGCAUAAGCUAGCUUGACUGCGAGCGUGACGGCGCGAGCAGGUGCGAAAGCAGGUCAUAGUGAUCCGGUGGUUCUGAAUGGAAGGGCCAUCGCUCAACGGAUAAAAGGUACUCCGGGGAUAACAGGCUGAUACCGCCCAAGAGUUCAUAUCGACGGCGGUGUUUGGCACCUCGAUGUCGGCUCAUCACAUCCUGGGGCUGAAGUAGGUCCCAAGGGUAUGGCUGUUCGCCAUUUAAAGUGGUACGCGAGCUGGGUUUAGAACGUCGUGAGACAGUUCGGUCCCUAUCUGCCGUGGGCGCUGGAGAAUUGAGGGGGGCUGCUCCUAGUACGAGAGGACCGGAGUGGACGCAUCACUGGUGUUCGGGUUGUCAUGCCAAUGGCACUGCCCGGUAGCUAAAUGCGGAAGAGAUAAGUGCUGAAAGCAUCUAAGCACGAAACUUGCCCCGAGAUGAGUUCUCCCUGAGACUUUAAGUCUCCUGAAGGAACGUUGAAGACGACGACGUUGAUAGGCCGGGUGUGUAAGCGCAGCGAUGCGUUGAGCUAACCGGUACUAAUGAACCGUGAGGCUUAACCUUACAACGCCGAAG
Molecule: ribosomal RNA, 2770 nt
Filed under: Klebsiella pneumoniae subsp. pneumoniae
Lineage: Bacteria; Pseudomonadati; Pseudomonadota; Gammaproteobacteria; Enterobacterales; Enterobacteriaceae
Description: bacterial LSU rRNA
Rfam family: Bacterial large subunit ribosomal RNA
Source: RNAcentral